This 257-nucleotide ribosomal RNA is filed under the name uncultured bacterium. RNAcentral describes it as "partial 16S ribosomal RNA". It matches the Rfam family "Bacterial small subunit ribosomal RNA", at positions 524 to 777 of the family's 1533-position model. The record is from RNAcentral.
UACGUAGGGUGCAAGCGUUAAUCGGAAUUACUGGGCGUAAAGCGUGCGCAGGCGGUUAUGUAAGACAGAUGUGAAAUGCCCGGGCUUAACCUGGGAACUGCAUUUGUGACUGCAUGGCUAGAGUGUGUCAGAGGGGGGUAGAAUUCCACGUGUAGCAGUGAAAUGCGUAGAGAUGUGGAGGAAUACCGAUGGCGAAGGCAGCCCCCCUGGGAUAACACUGACGCUCAUGGCACGAAAAGCGUGGGGAGCAAACAGGA